Molecule: long non-coding RNA, 286 nt
Organism: Nanorana parkeri
Lineage: Eukaryota; Metazoa; Chordata; Amphibia; Anura; Dicroglossidae
Exons: 3
Source: RefSeq, a predicted model, not a curated record
CAAAGUAGCAGAAUUAAAAUAAAAAACGAUUUACUUUAAGGGAGAUGUGAUUUUAAAGAAAUCCCUUUUUAAAUCUUUAAUUUGCAUGGCUUGUAUUGUGAAUGUAUCUUUUGGUGCUAUAAGUAGCACCAGGGUAAAGCAACACUUUAUGAUUAGUUACACUAUUAUUCUGUUUCAAUUUUAUCUUAUGUGGAGUCUAGCUCUCUUUGUGUUUAGUAUAUUAGUUUUGUACCAAAGUGAGUAGCAACAUAAACCAAGCUAAAAAAAAAAAAAAACGUGAAAAGUA